ACGAUUCUAUUACCUGUGGGAUCUGAUCGAUUGUAUUGUGACGAGUAGCAGAACGAUGCACGCGCGAGGCGUGUUACACUGAGG
This is a small nucleolar RNA of Leptomonas pyrrhocoris, 84 nucleotides long. The record is from RefSeq and is a predicted model, not a curated record. Lineage: Eukaryota; Euglenozoa; Kinetoplastea; Trypanosomatida; Trypanosomatidae.